ACAUUACAUUUGCUGAAUCCCGGACUUGUCCGGGUACGGAGGAACCAAUUCAGGGGUUAAUCCAUGUUCUGCAUGGUAGGGAUCCUUCUAUCCCGAACCCGUCAGCUAACUUCGGAAGCGAUUUAAGGAAGGAGUG
RNAcentral lists this small RNA (136 nucleotides) under Geosporobacter subterraneus. Its description in RNAcentral is "c-di-AMP sequence". It matches the Rfam family "c-di-AMP riboswitch aptamer (ydaO/yuaA leader)". From Rfam's summary of the family: This family represents a conserved RNA structure found upstream of the ydaO and yuaA genes in Bacillus subtilis and related genes in other bacteria. The ydaO/yuaA element is thought to act as a genetic "off" switch for the ydaO and yuaA genes in its native state. It is believed that the element may be triggered during osmotic shock leading to activation of ydaO, a predicted amino acid transporter gene, and members of the yuaA-yubG operon which code for KtrA and KtrB K+ transporters. Lineage: Bacteria; Bacillati; Bacillota; Clostridia; Peptostreptococcales; Thermotaleaceae. The record is from RNAcentral.